GGGUGCGAUCAUACCAGCACUAAUGCACCGGAUCCCAUCAGAACUCCGCACGGUAAACGUGCUUGGGCGAGAGUAGUACUAGGAUGGGUGACCUCCUGGGAAGUCCUCGUGUUGCACCCC
Molecule: ribosomal RNA, 120 nt
Organism: Corchorus capsularis
Lineage: Eukaryota; Viridiplantae; Streptophyta; Magnoliopsida; Malvales; Malvaceae
Source: Rfam